AGCCGGGUCCCGCGCAACGGCCGGUCGCCAACUCCGUCAGGCCCGGAAGGGAGCAGCGGUAACGACCUCAGCCGUGUGCCGCGGGGGUGCCUGGCUGUC
This 99-nucleotide signal recognition particle RNA is filed under the name Desulfuromonas sp. Its description in RNAcentral is "signal recognition particle sRNA small type". It matches the Rfam family "Bacterial small signal recognition particle RNA". Rfam says of the family: The signal recognition particle (SRP) is a universally conserved ribonucleoprotein involved in the co-translational targeting of proteins to membranes. The record is from RNAcentral. Lineage: Bacteria; Pseudomonadati; Thermodesulfobacteriota; Desulfuromonadia; Desulfuromonadales; Desulfuromonadaceae.